Molecule: ribosomal RNA, 465 nt
Filed under: uncultured Klebsiella sp.
Lineage: Bacteria; Pseudomonadati; Pseudomonadota; Gammaproteobacteria; Enterobacterales; Enterobacteriaceae
Description: bacterial SSU rRNA
Rfam family: Bacterial small subunit ribosomal RNA
Source: RNAcentral
CCUACGGGGGGCAGCAGUGGGGAAUAUUGCACAAUGGGCGCAAGCCUGAUGCAGCCAUGCCGCGUGUGUGAAGAAGGCCUUCGGGUUGUAAAGCACUUUCAGCGGGGAGGAAGGCGUUAAGGUUAAUAACCUUGUCGAUUGACGUUACCCGCAGAAGAAGCACCGGCUAACUCCGUGCCAGGAGCCGCGGUAAUACGGAGGGUGCAAGCGUUAAUCGGAAUUACUGGGCGUAAAGCGCACGCAGGCGGUCUGUCAAGUCGGAUGUGAAAUCCCCGGGCUCAACCUGGGAACUGCAUUCGAAACUGGCAGGCUAGAGUCUUGUAGAGGGGGGUAGAAUUCCAGGUGUAGCGGUGAAAUGCGUAGAGAUCUGGAGGAAUACCGGUGGCGAAGGCGGCCCCCUGGACAAAGACUGACGCUCAGGUGCGAAAGCGUGGGGAGCAAACAGGAUUAGAUACCCUAGUAGUC